UCCUAGCCGUAAACGAUGCGGACUGAGUAUUGCAGGAGCCUCGAGUUCCUGCAGUGCUGAAGGGAAACCGUUAAGUCCGCCGUCUGGGGAGUACGGUCGCAAGGCUGAAACUUAAAGGAAUUGGCGGGGGAGCACCACAAGGGGUGGAUGCUGCGGUUCAAUUGGAUACAACGCCGGGCAACUCACCAGGGGCGACGGCAGGAUGAAGGCCAGGCUGAAGGUCUUGCUGGACG
This 233-nucleotide ribosomal RNA is filed under the name uncultured bacterium. Its description in RNAcentral is "partial 16S ribosomal RNA". It matches the Rfam family "Archaeal small subunit ribosomal RNA", at positions 745 to 977 of the family's 1478-position model. The record is from RNAcentral.